GCGUGACCUCUGUUAGCUUGUGUGGAAAGCAGGGGCUUAUCUCCUCGGCUUGUUGUCCAUUAGGGUUCAUACCUGUGGGCUCAGGUCACCUUCUUCUCAUUAGCUUAGAAAAAUUAUAUCACUUCAUUAGAGGUGUUUGUUCAGCUUCUGAGUGUCCCCAGGCAUUUGGAUGUGUUGGUGGAGUUCUCCACUGGGUCCACUCCAUCAUAAUGAAGCUUCAACACAGGACUCCACAGAGCUCCAGGAGAGAAAUCUGGGAAGGAGAAAGUGAAGGGAGAUUGGGUGUUUCUUCAAGCUUCUGGGGAAGUGUUCCUCCCUCGUUGUAAGGAGAUUGAGCCAGGCUGUAGCUGAGAGAUUCAUUGCUUUCCAAAACGUCUGUGGUUCUUAUCAUGAUUUAGUCUCUACUAGACCUUGUAGACAUUAAACAACAAGAAUGAGCACUAUUCUCACUCAGGAAAAGAAACAUUAUAUAUUGGAUGCUGGAACACUACCACGAUGUGCUGUGAGAUCUUACCAUCUGCUAUUCCAUUAGGGUGAGUU
RNAcentral lists this long non-coding RNA (540 nucleotides) under Cyanistes caeruleus (blue tit). RNAcentral describes it as "lncRNA (ENSCCEG00000009070.1)". The record is from RNAcentral. Lineage: Eukaryota; Metazoa; Chordata; Aves; Passeriformes; Paridae.